AUGAAACCAGCCAACCCUAAUAGCUCCAGCUAUAUAGAAUUCGAUGGUGACGCAUCAACAUUUCCCCAUUCAACUUUAGACGCGUCUGUUGUCACUCAUGACAAUGAUCUAGCUAGGAGGCAACGUGAUAAUGAGCGGAAAAGAAAUUUAACAAACGCGCAAAGAGAGCAAAUAAACGCACAGAGGCGUGCAGAAUAUCAGCGGAAUAAGGACAAGGUAUCUGUUGAUGUCAGAGAAACUGUGAAUGAAAAAGUACGAGAGAAGCGAAUGCAACGUCGCAAAAGCAUGUCAGUGAUUGAGAAGGGGGGGUCAAGUGCUCAGAGGAAGUCCAAUUAUGCUAGGAGAAAAAACACCCCAUGCAACGAAUCCAUCGCACUCCCACGUCCAGACCUAGCAAACUCAACCUCUGAAUGUCCCACAUUAAUCUGCCGUGCAUCAUCCGUCGCUGGGGCCGCCGAAGAUGAUUCAUCUGAUGGCGACACUCCGACGAACAAGACGAAUUACAAUAUUGAUAUCGAAGGUAUGAAAUCGCUAAUGUCACUUUCUUCUGCUCAUUACCAGCAACCAUCUUCUAACAUGCCCUUAUCUCCUGUGACAUUCGCAACGACGAAUGUCCAGAGGACAUCGAAUUUUUACAAAGCGGCGCCAUGGGCGAUGAGCCGACAGCAGCCGAAUUGA
RNAcentral lists this ribosomal RNA (678 nucleotides) under Triticum aestivum (bread wheat). RNAcentral's name for it is "partial small subunit ribosomal RNA". Lineage: Eukaryota; Viridiplantae; Streptophyta; Magnoliopsida; Poales; Poaceae. The record is from RNAcentral.